UACACAUGCAAGUCGAACGGUAACAGGAAGCAGCUUGCUGCUUCGCUGACGAGUGGCGGACGGGUGAGUAAUGUCUGGGAAACUGCCUGAUGGAGGGGGAUAACUACUGGAAACGGUAGCUAAUACCGCAUAACGUCGCAAGACCAAAGAGGGGGACCUUCGGGCCUCUUGCCAUCGGAUGUGCCCAGAUGGGAUUAGCUAGUAGGUGGGGUAACGGCUCACCUAGGCGACGAUCCCUAGCUGGUCUGAGAGGAUGACCAGCCACACUGGAACUGAGACACGGUCCAGACUCCUACGGGAGGCAGCAGUGGGGAAUAUUGCACAAUGGGCGCAAGCCUGAUGCAGCCAUGCCGCGUGUAUGAAGAAGGCCUUCGGGUUGUAAAGUACUUUCAGCGGGGAGGAAGGGAGUAAAGUUAAUACCUUUGCUCAUUGACGUUACCCGCAGAAGAAGCACCGGCUAACUCCGUGCCAGCAGCCGCGGUAAUACGGAGGGUGCAAGCGUUAAUCGGAAUUACUGGGCGUAAAGCGCACGCAGGCGGUUUGUUAAGUCAGAUGUGAAAUCCCCGGGCUCAACCUGGGAACUGCAUCUGAUACUGGCAAGCUUGAGUCUCGUAGAGGGGGGGUAGAAUUCCAGGUGUAGCGGUUGAAAUGCGUAGAGAUCUGGAGGAAUACCGGUGGCGAAAGGCGGCCCCCUGGACGAAGACUGA
RNAcentral lists this ribosomal RNA (707 nucleotides) under Escherichia coli. RNAcentral describes it as "bacterial SSU rRNA". It matches the Rfam family "Bacterial small subunit ribosomal RNA", at positions 50 to 743 of the family's 1533-position model. The record is from RNAcentral. Lineage: Bacteria; Pseudomonadati; Pseudomonadota; Gammaproteobacteria; Enterobacterales; Enterobacteriaceae.